Molecule: long non-coding RNA, 5176 nt
Filed under: Volvox carteri
Lineage: Eukaryota; Viridiplantae; Chlorophyta; Chlorophyceae; Chlamydomonadales; Volvocaceae
Description: long non-coding RNA (VCAR_LNC000879)
Source: RNAcentral
CUCCGCUGCAACUGUUGUUGUAGCCACGCUUAUAUCCAGAAUUUGACGACUGCUUCAGCGCUUUAAGCUGCCUGCAGUCCGUUACCACGUGCCCAGGCUUGUUGCAGUAGUAGCAGAUGAGUUCCUGUUGAAGGGCGGUCCUAUCCCAACGUAGAUAAUUGGUGGUUAGGCGAUGAUUCCACCGUGAUAGGCGAUGCCUCGGACGUGCAUCGACCUUGCCUCGGCCGUGCCUAGACCUUGCCUCGGCCAUGCCUAGACUUGCCUCGGCCGUACCUCGACCUUGCCUCGGGUCUCUCGGCCGCGUAUCUCGGACGUCACCUCAGGUCCAGGGAUGGUGGACAUCUGUACGAUACUUCCAUUGGUACUGGUAUAUAAGGCACGAGUUGUGCUAGUCUUUGUAUCUCAUCUUUGUAUGGAUCGGUAUUCCUCAGUAGGAAUCUCCUAAAGUCUUCCAGCCGUUUACCACUCACCUUCCGAUUAUAAUACUUAUAUCGCGACCAGUCUCCUUGCCUCCUUCAUAUUCUUAACAGGUUAUGAGCCCCGGCUCACGCUAAGCAGCAACUACCUCUAAUACUCGUAUUCCACAAUGGGGAAGGACAAGCUUGACGAGCCGCUGGACUUGAACAACUACGCCACCUGGCAAAUUCGGUUCAGCGCGCUGUGUAUGGAGCUUGGGCUUGAGCAGUCCUUGCUCGCCGAGCCGGGAAACGAGGAGCAGAUUCGACAAUCUCGUAAGGUUAUCAACCUGCUCAUCAAGAAUGUUAAAGAUCACCAUUUGCCGAUGGUUACGGGUGCUGCAAACGCGAAGAGGGCAUGGGACGCUCUGGCCACGAUGUUUGUUGCUAACAAUAACGCACGCAAGGUAACUCUCCGUCAAGAGUUCAGCCGUUUCAAGAUGGUCGACGGCGAGCCGCUACCGAAGUACGGCACGUGCGCGGCAAUUACAGUCAGACUUGUUGGGAGUGGGGCACGUUAUCAGCGACUCGGAGCUGGCAUACACAGUGCUGGUUGGUCUACCCAGCCGCUUCAACGUGGUAACGACGUCCCUGCUGGUGCGUGACGGCGAUUUGGACAUGGCGAGCGUCACCUCUAAGCUUUUGGCUAUCGAGGUGGCAAGCGGUGGGUCUAGUAAGCCUACCGAGUCGGCAGCUAUUGCUUCUGUCGGCGGUCUCACGUUUGGCGCCUCUGGUUCUGGUCUUAGGAGUCACGGCGCGGCCAGCAGCAGUUCUGGCGGUUCCCCCAAACAUUUGUUUUGUCACUAUUGCAAAAAGCCCGGGCACGAUAUUAAGGACUGCAGGAAGUUGAAGGCACUAAAGCAGUUGUCCAUUUCCGGCAGUGGACAUGGUAAGGGUGGUGGUGGCAGCGGAGCUAGCGGCAGCAAGCCUGGGCCCGGUGGGUCUGGAAGGGGAUCAGGAAUCCCACGGCAGGUAGCGUUCACAGCUUACAGCGGUGAGCGUCCGCAGGGGUGGUUCCUGGACUCAGCCGCCACUCACCACAUAACGUAUGACCGCUCAGAACUUCUCAACGUGCGGUUGUUGGAGCCGUGGGAGCGCUUCAACAUCAUGGGCAUUAAGGGACAGUCUCUUCGGCCGACUGAAGUUGGCACGCUUAUGAUUCGGUCUAAUGUCAACGAUAAACAGGCCAUCACCUUUAAGAAGGUCUACGUCGAUGAGGAGGCCACCGCCAAAAUCAUAUCGGUCCGCAUCAUUGAUGAUCGUGGAGGCAGUGUGGUCUUCGGCGGUGGACAGGUGAAAGUAUACAUACAGAACCAGUUGGUGCUGACUGGAAAGCGGGAUGGGGACUUGUAUCCCGUCUGCUACAGCAGUGGAGGUACGGGCGCUCUGAAGUGGACGCAGCGUGAAGACAACAGGAUGCCUUCUGGUGGUGGUGCAGUGUGUACUGCCGUGAGUAUCGGAGCUGAACGUGCAGCACUUUGGCACCGACGGUAUGGCCACUUGGGUUACAGCAACCUUGAGGCGUUGCUGCGUCACAAUAUGGUAACUGGGUUGGAUGUUGACCGACACAGCAUACAAUCAGCCAGUGCGUGUGUGUGUGAGACUUGCGUCCUUGCAAAGCAUACACGUGGUCCUUUUCCGUUAACUGGGCAUAAGGCAGCGCAGCCUCUCGCGCUCAUUCACAUGGAUGUGUGUGGGCCUAUGCCUGAACCUUCACCAAAUGGUUCGCGUUACGUGACCACCCUUCUUGAUGACCACACCGGUCUGUCAGCUGUUGCGUUUACGGCGACCAAGGAGGAGAUAUAUCAGAAGGUGGUGGUGAUGAUAGCGGACCUGGAACGGGCAUCUGGUCGGCAGGUAAAGGAGGUGCGCACGGAUCGUGGCGGGGAGUUUGUGAAUACUCGCACGAAAAACUACUUUGCGUCAAGGGGUAUAAUGCACGGAACUACGGCGGGCUACACUCCUGAGCAGAACGGUGCAGCAGAACGCCUGAACCGCACUCUUCUAGACAAGGCCAGGUCAUUGGCCAGCCGACACUCAUAUACCAGUGAAUGGUAACCACAGUAAUAGGACCCAACGGGGUCCGGCGCUUUGCUGGUCUUAACAGGUUACGAGCCCCGAAUGGCGCAUUGCGCUGCCGAAAGGUCGCCGGAUCGAUACCCACUGGCUGUUGCCCAGAGAAUGGGAGACCGGGAUGAGGCACGGGAAGGCCCGGAGCGAGAGAGUGUCGCUCACGGGGGUGUGUUGGAAAUGACCGACACUCAUAUACCAGUGAAUGGUAACCACAGUAAUAGGACCCAACGGGGUCCGGCGCUUUGCUGGUCUUAACAUGUACUGUACGAGGACGGCGUCGUCGCCGUUGUCUCGAGUGUCCGCUUUGAUGAGUCUAAUGUCGGCCGGCGGCGUAGUGCCGGGGACUCCGAUUAUGGGUCCGAUGCCGAUGAGGAGGAGGAUGUUCGCACUAACUUGCCUGGUGAGGGGUCGCUGCCUAGGGCUGGCGAAGGAACAUCAGGCAAUACCGUCGGCGAGGGAUCGCCGCCUUUGGGUGGCGAGGGGGCGCCGGCUGGGGCUGGACCUUCCAGCAGUGCGAACGUGCAAGAUAACACUCCGCCUGAUGUGGAAAUGGCAGGGACCCGGUACCCAGUUAGAGAGUGUAAACGCCCUGGCGAGUGGUGGCGAAACGAGCCUGGUCGCACUGUUACUGGUCGCAUUAAUGCUGCUUUUUCUGCUGUCAUUCCUGAACCGAAUUCGUUUGCGGAAGCAAUUGCGAGUCCACAUGCAGACGAUUGGCGGCGUGCGAUGGACGAGGAGAUCGCCGCCCAGAUGGCUAACAGUACUUGGGAGCUGAAAACGCCACCUCCAGGUACUCAUUUACUGCCGUGUCGUUGGGUGUAUAAGGUUAAGUACAACGAUGACGGCAGCGUGGAGCGUUUUAAGGCGCGAUUGGUUGCAAAGGGUUUCGAGCAACGCGAGGGGAUUGAUUAUGGGGAGUUGUUUGCACCUACCUCACGUGGUUCGUCAUUACGUGCUUUAUUAGCAGUUGCCGCAGCGCGGAACAUGACGGUACACCAGCUUGAUGUGUCUACUGCAUUUUUGAACGGCGAGUUGAAGGAGGAGUUGUGGAUGCAGCAACCACCUGGGUAUGAAUCCAGUGACCGGUCGCUUGCGUGGAAGCUGGAGAGGUCUAUUUACGGUUUGAAGCAGGCACCCCGUUGCUGGUAUGAAAAGCUAUCGGCAGAGUUCGCCAAGCUGGGUCUUUAUCCUUCGAAGUCUGAUCCGGCGAUGUUCGUUAAGACGGACGAGCGUGGGGUCGUUAUUGCUUUGGUGCAUGUAGAUGAUACCAUUGUUGCAUCAGAAGACCCAGACAUGGUCCGGGCAAUUAAAGCCGCAAUUGCGAAGGUCUUCAAGGUGCGUGACCUUGGAGAAGCGAAGGUGUUUGGGGGCAUGGAAAUUUCGGAGGGAAAAAUCGGGUGAGAUAGUGUUGUCGCAGCAUAGGUAUAUUGAGCAGCUGUUGGAGCGUCAUAGGAUGGUUGAUGCCAAGCCGAGGUCUACCCCUUUGCCUCCGGGCUUUAGGUACACUCCUAAGGGGGACGGAGAGGAGCUGCUGGGCAAUCCCACGGAGUAUAGGGCUUUGGUGGGAGAAUUGAACUAUCUGGCGACGAACACGCGGCCUGACAUUUCGUAUGCCUUGAGCGUUUUGUCCCGGCAUAUGGCCACACCUACGAAGACUGCCAUGAACUUGGCCACUGGCGUUCUGCGUUACCUGGCGGGUACUCGCGAACUAGGAUUGCGUUUUGGGGGUGUUGGCGGUGUUGCAAUGUCCGGGUACAGUGAUUCGGACUGGGCAGGAGACCCAGUUACGAGGCGUUCUACGUCCGGUUACGUAUUCACUCUUAAUGGGGCUGCGAUUAGUUGGAGCAGCCAACUUCAACGUACUGUGGCGGCUUCGUCGGUGGAGGCCGAGUACCAAGCUACAGCGGCGGCUGUUCGUGAAGCUUUGUGGCUUCGCAAGCUGAUGGUCGAUUUGGGCUUGCCUGAGAGCGCGGUGAAAAUCCAGACAGACUCCCAGGGGGCGCUUAGCUUGGGAAACAACCCGAUUACGUCUGCUCGGUCGAAACACAUCGACGUGCAGCACCACAUAGUGCGUGAGAGGGUGAAUAGCGGGGAGGUGCAGUUGGAGUACUGCCCUACAGAGUGGAUGGUAGCGGAUGCGCUCACGAAGGCACUGGGAGAAGUGAAGUUCAAACGGUGCAGAGAAGCUAUGGGCCUUGUGUGAAGUGCCCAUUGGCGUAGCAAAUGUGCUACUGUGAGUUGGGAUAUGUCCCGAGGGGGCGUGUUGAAGGGCGGUCCUAUCCCAACGUAGAUAAUUGGUAGUUAGGCGAUGAUUCCACCAUGAUAGGCGAUGCCUCGGACGUGCAUCGACCUUGCCUCGGCCGUGCCUAGACCUUGCCUCGGCCAUGCCUAGACUUGCCUCGGCCGUACCUCGACCUUGCCUCGGGUCUCUCGGCCGCGUAUCUCGGACGUGACCUCAGGUCCAGGGAUGGUGGACAUCUGUACGAUACUUCCAUUGGUACUGGUAUAUAAGGCACGAGUUGUGCUAGUCUUUGUAUCUCAUCUUUGUAUGGAUCGGUAUUCCUCAGUAGGAAUCUCCUAAAGUCUUCCAGCCGUUUACCACUCACCUACCGAUUGUAAUACUUAUAUCGCGACCAGUCUCCUUGCCU